ACUCUGAACCUAUAGCCACAUUUGACCACAUCGAUAUUUGUUACAAUGAACGCAAUUCAAUUACAGCAGCUCCCAACAUUGGCCACUGGAUGGCAGCGCGGAGCUGUCAGUCUUUCGCCUCAGGCAAAACAUCGAUUCAAGGAGGAGAAGAAGAAUGAAAAAAAAAGUUUUUAGAAAAACAAGUUCUAACAACAAAGGCUGUUUGCGAUUUCUAAAAACAAAAUUUCUUCCAAAGAACCUUUUCUGUUGACACAUGUUAUCCUAUAUGCGGUGAAUCUCCGAGCUGAGACUGAGAGAAGAGCCCCUUGGCAAGGCAGAACCCAAGUAUGAGAGAAGAUUCCUGCCCGCAUGAUAAUACAUCUGGAGCUGUAAACCCCCCCCCCCCCCCCCUUGCAUUUAACAUGGUGGUAUGACUCUUCAUACACUCCCUGGAAAUUGUUUUCAUUCCCACUUUCCUGGAACCGUGGCAGCAUAUGCGGAGUUGCCUUUCAGCAGGAAGACAAUGCUUCUUGGAAAUGUUCCAAAGUCGGGAAUGUACGAUGGAUGAUGACAGCAGACGACCUGCAGGCUGAUGAUUCAAGAGGUACCAAUAUGGAGGGGGGCCCAGAACAUCUGGAUUCAUACGGUUGUUGUUUGUGUUGUGUGGCCUCCUUUAAAAAAUUAAAUAAAAAUAAUUUCUGGGUCCUGAGCUGGUAAUCCCCUCCGGAUAAAGGGUUAGAUCGUUUUUUACAGAACUUUUUAGUGAGAUGAAGAUGGAUGAUGCAUCCCACUGGCUCUGGCUGAAAAUAAAUCCCCACCCAAAGUCUGGAACUUGUUAUUUUUAUAUAUUUAUCUACAGAACCAUUCAGUCUCCACGCUCACCGCUGUAUUAAUGCAUCUGAACAGCCGGGGAGUAGAAGUGUGAUUUUAAAUAUAAAUACACAGAUAGACGACUGAGUGCUUAAAUGGAUAUUUCAUCCAAUAUUUACCCAAACAAAACCCCUUUGAAUGUUAGCUGAAUUUCUAUUUCUAAUAUUAACUAUUAGUUUUAAAUAUACAGUCUGUGUCUCACCCAAGCCCCCAUAAUUCAGGUCUGAAAUUGAAGCCAACACGGAAGUGUGAAAAAUUGCAGUUCCACCCUCAUCCACUAGGGGCUGGUGUCAGAAACGAGCAAAUCCUCAUUGACUCCCAUGUUAAAAAUACCAAUUUCA
Nothobranchius furzeri (turquoise killifish) is the source of this 1190-nucleotide non-coding RNA. The record is from RefSeq and is a predicted model, not a curated record. Lineage: Eukaryota; Metazoa; Chordata; Actinopteri; Cyprinodontiformes; Nothobranchiidae.